RNAcentral lists this long non-coding RNA (458 nucleotides) under Homo sapiens (human). RNAcentral describes it as "HSALNT0354251". The record is from RNAcentral. Lineage: Eukaryota; Metazoa; Chordata; Mammalia; Primates; Hominidae.
AGUGACCACUUUUCUCUCCAGCUGCCUCGCAUGAUGGCAAAUGGCAUAUUUAAAUGGUAAAAGGCUUGAUCUCUAUCUCAAAACAUUUGACAUACUCACACUGAAGAUGGAAAAAACUGUUUUUGAUGGCUUCAGAGGAAAGACUGUGUACUAAGAAGAGGUGAUACAUCACAGGGGCUCAUGAAUGUGUCUUAAGCUGGGUCAUUGAAGUGGAAUGUUUUCACAAGACCUCCUCCACUUGCUACUGUGUCCGGAAUUGGUGGGUUCUUGGUCUCACUGACUUCAAGAAUGAAGCCGCGGACCCUCGCGGUGAGUGUUACAGUUCUUAAAGGUGGCAUGUUUGGAGUUUGUUCCUUCUGAUGUUCGGAUGUGUUCGGAGUUUCUUCGUUCUGGUGGGUUCGUGGUCUCGCUGGCUCCGGAGUGAAGCUGCAGACCUUUGCAGUGAGUGUUACAGCUCU